GGUGGCUCAGUGGUAGAGUGCUUGCCUCACAUGCAUAAGACCCUGGGUUCAUACCUCAGCACCA
RNAcentral lists this transfer RNA (64 nucleotides) under Dipodomys ordii (Ord's kangaroo rat). It matches the Rfam family "tRNA". From Rfam's summary of the family: Transfer RNA (tRNA) molecules are approximately 80 nucleotides in length. Their secondary structure includes four short double-helical elements and three loops (D, anti-codon, and T loops). Further hydrogen bonds mediate the characteristic L-shaped molecular structure. tRNAs have two regions of fundamental functional importance: the anti-codon, which is responsible for specific mRNA codon recognition, and the 3' end, to which the tRNAs corresponding amino acid is attached (by aminoacyl-tRNA synthetases). tRNAs cope with the degeneracy of the genetic code in two manners: having more than one tRNA (with a specific anti-codon) for a particular amino acid; and 'wobble' base-pairing, i.e. permitting non-standard base-pairing at the 3rd anti-codon position. The record is from Rfam by way of RNAcentral. Lineage: Eukaryota; Metazoa; Chordata; Mammalia; Rodentia; Heteromyidae.